This 23-nucleotide non-coding RNA is filed under the name Arabidopsis thaliana (thale cress). Lineage: Eukaryota; Viridiplantae; Streptophyta; Magnoliopsida; Brassicales; Brassicaceae. The record is from RNAcentral.
UAUAAACUGUUCAAUACAUGAAA